This 490-nucleotide ribosomal RNA is filed under the name uncultured bacterium. RNAcentral's name for it is "partial 16S ribosomal RNA". It matches the Rfam family "Bacterial small subunit ribosomal RNA", at positions 29 to 507 of the family's 1533-position model. The record is from RNAcentral.
AAUGAACGCUGGCGGCAUGCCUUACACAUGCAAGUCGAACGGCAGCAUGACCUAGCUUGCUAGGUUGAUGGCGAGUGGCGAACGGGUGAGUAAUGCAUCGGAACGUGCCUUUUAGUGGGGGAUAACGUAGCGAAAGUUACGCUAAUACCGCAUAUUCUCUGAGGAGGAAAGCAGGGGACCUUCGGGCCUUGCGCUAGAAGAGCGGCCGAUGUCGGAUUAGCUAGUUGGUGAGGUAAAGGCUCACCAAGGCAACGAUCCGUAGCGGGUCUGAGAGGAUGAUCCGCCACACUGGGACUGAGACACGGCCCAGACUCCUACGGGAGGCAGCAGUGGGGAAUUUUGGACAAUGGGCGCAAGCCUGAUCCAGCCAUGCCGCGUGAGUGAAGAAGGCCUUCGGGUUGUAAAGCUCUUUCGGCUGGGAAGAAAUCGCACCCUCUAAUACAGGGUGUGGAUGACGGUACCAGCAUAAGAAGCACCGGCUAGCUACGUG